AGAAUAAAUUUAUUAAUUAUUUUUUUUAAAAAUAAAAUUAUUAUAAAAAUAAUUUUAAUAAUUUAUGUUUAAGUAUAUUUUAUAGAAAAAAUAAUGUUUAUUAUAGAGAAUUAGUAUUGUAAAAGAAUAUUGAAAUAAUUUGAAAAUUUUUUUUUUUAAAAGAAAUAUUUAUUUUGUGUACCUUUUGUAUCAGGGUUUAUUAAAUAAAUUUUGUUAAUAUAUAAAUUUCUCGAAUUUAAAAGAGUUAAUAAGUUAUGAAAGUUAAUGUAAAAAAAUUAUUUUUAAUAAUUUAUUAGUAAUGAGAUGUUAUUCGUUUUUAAAUAUAUCUAGUUUUUUAAGAAAUAAAUUUAAUUUAUUUAUUAAUAAAAUAAUUUUUUUUUAUAUAAAAUUAAUUAUUUAUUAAUAAAAAUAUUAUAAGGGAUAAGCUUUAUUUUAUUUUCUAUAAUUAAAUCAAGUUAGAUUUUAUUUGUAAGUUUAGAAAUAGCUAUCAAUAAUAAGUUUGUUUUAAUUUAUAAAAUUAAUAUAUAAUUUUUAAAAAUUUAGAAUUUUUAUUAAAAUAUUUAUUGUAAUAAUUUAAGUUAAAUAAUAAUGAUAAAAUUAGUAUAAAUUUAUAUAUUUAAUUUGUUAAUAAUUAAAGAUUAAAUUAAGGAAUUCGGCAAAAUUAAUACUCACCUGUUUAACAAAAACAUGUCUUUUUGAUAAUAAUUUAAAGUCUAGCCUGCCCACUGAAUAAUUUGAAGGGCCGCGGUAUUUUGACUGUGCAAAGGUAGCAUAAUCAUUAGUCUUUUAAUUGAAGGCUUGUAUGAAUGGUUGGAUGAGGUAUUAACUGUCUCAAUUUAAUAAAAUAAAGAAUUUUAUUUUUAAGUUAAAAAGCUUAAAUUUAAUUGGAGGACGAGAAGACCCUAUAGAUCUUUAUAAUUAUUUUGAUAAUAAUUUUAUGGAAUAAAUUUAUUAUUAUUAAUUUUAUUAUUUUAUUGGGGUGAUAAAAAAAUUUAAUAAACUUUUUUUUAAAAAAAUAUACAAUUAUAUUUGAAUAAUGGAUCCAUUUUUAGUGAUUAUAAGAUUAAGUUACCUUAGGGAUAACAGCGUAAUUUUUUUGGAGAGUUCAUAUCUAUAAAAAAGAUUGCGACCUCGAUGUUGAAUUAAAGGUUAAUUUUAGGUGUAGAAGUUUAAAAUUUUGGUCUGUUCGACCAUUAAAUCUUUACAUGAUUUGAGUUCAAACCGGCGUGAGCCAGGUUGGUUUCUAUCCUCAAUUAUAUAAAAUAUUUUAGUACGAAAGGACCAAAUAUUUAAAUUAAAUUUUUAAUAUUGAAUAUAAUUAAU
RNAcentral lists this ribosomal RNA (1323 nucleotides) under Ctenochauliodes yangi. RNAcentral describes it as "16S ribosomal RNA". The stretch from base 1079 to 1238 matches the Rfam family "Archaeal large subunit ribosomal RNA", at positions 2544 to 2703 of the family's 2987-position model. The record is from RNAcentral. Lineage: Eukaryota; Metazoa; Arthropoda; Insecta; Megaloptera; Corydalidae.